This 253-nucleotide ribosomal RNA is filed under the name uncultured bacterium. RNAcentral describes it as "partial 16S ribosomal RNA". It matches the Rfam family "Bacterial small subunit ribosomal RNA", at positions 524 to 776 of the family's 1533-position model. The record is from RNAcentral.
UACAGAGGGUGCGAGCGUUAAUCGGAAUUAUUGGGCGUAAAGAGCUCGUAGGCGGUUUGUUGCGUCGGCUGUGAAAUCCCGAGGCUCAACCUCGGGUCUGCAGUCGAUACGAGCAAACUAGAGUGUUGCAGGGGAGACUGGAAUUCCUGGUGUAGCGGUGAAAUGCGCAGAUAUCAGGAGGAACACCGGUGGCGAAGGCGGGUCUCUGGGCAACAACUGACGCUGAGGAGCGAAAGCGUGGGGAGCGAACAGG